Molecule: non-coding RNA, 128 nt
Organism: Caenorhabditis elegans
Lineage: Eukaryota; Metazoa; Nematoda; Chromadorea; Rhabditida; Rhabditidae
Source: Ensembl
UAGUCAGUGAUUCAAAACAUUGGUGAAUAUUAGAAAAAUGUUUUCUGGUUGGGGAAUAUUUUACAAAGUUUUUAGAUUUUUCAUUUAGGAAAUAUUAUUCUGGCUGGAAAGUUUAACGGAUACUGUUC